GACGAACGCUGGCGGCGUGCUUAACACAUGCAAGUCGAACGGAAAGGCCCUGCUUUUGUGGGGUGCUCGAGUGGCGAACGGGUGAGUAACACGUGAGUAACCUGCCCUUGACUUUGGGAUAACUUCAGGAAACUGGGGCUAAUACCGGAUAGGAGCUCCUGCUGCAUGGUGGGGGUUGGAAAGUUUCGGCGGUUGGGGAUGGACUCGCGGCUUAUCAGCUUGUUGGUGGGGUAGUGGCUUACCAAGGCUUUGACGGGUAGCCGGCCUGAGAGGGUGACCGGCGACAUUGGGACUGAGAUACGGCCCAGACGCCUACGGGAGGCAGCAGUGGGGAAUAUUGCACAAUGGGCGGAAGCCUGAUGCAGCAACGCCGCGUGCGGGAUGACGGCCUUCGGGUUAUAAACCGCUUUCGCCUGUGACGAAGCGUGAGUGACGGUAAUGGGUAAAGAAGCACCGGCUAACUACGUG
This 468-nucleotide ribosomal RNA is filed under the name uncultured bacterium. Its description in RNAcentral is "partial 16S ribosomal RNA". It matches the Rfam family "Bacterial small subunit ribosomal RNA", at positions 28 to 507 of the family's 1533-position model. The record is from RNAcentral.